AUUGCCACCUUUCUUCAUGCUUUACACAUGCAAGUCGAACGGCAGCGCGGGCUUCGGCCUGGCGGCGAGUGGCGAACGGGUGAGUAAUACAUCGGAACGUGCCCAGUAGUGGGGGAUAGCUCGGCGAAAGCCGGAUUAAUACCGCAUACGACCUGAGGGUGAAAGCGGGGGAUCUUCGGACCUCGCGCUAUUGGAGCGGCCGAUGGCAGAUUAGCUAGUUGGUGGGGUAAAGGCCUACCAAGGCGACGAUCUGUAGCUGGUCUGAGAGGACGACCAGCCACACUGGGACUGAGACACGGCCCAGACUCCUACGGGAGGCAGCAGUGGGGAAUUUUGGACAAUGGGCGAAAGCCUGAUCCAGCAAUGCCGCGUGUGUGAUGAAGGCCUUCGGGUUGUAAAGCACUUUUGGCGGGAACGAAAAGGACUGUGCCAAUACCACGGUUCGAUGACGGUACCCGCAGAAUAAGCACCGGCUAACUACGUG
RNAcentral lists this ribosomal RNA (484 nucleotides) under uncultured bacterium. RNAcentral's name for it is "partial 16S ribosomal RNA". It matches the Rfam family "Bacterial small subunit ribosomal RNA", at positions 36 to 507 of the family's 1533-position model. The record is from RNAcentral.